This 720-nucleotide ribosomal RNA is filed under the name Mytilus coruscus. RNAcentral describes it as "18S ribosomal RNA (partial)". It matches the Rfam family "Eukaryotic small subunit ribosomal RNA", at positions 956 to 1827 of the family's 1831-position model. Lineage: Eukaryota; Metazoa; Mollusca; Bivalvia; Mytilida; Mytilidae. The record is from RNAcentral.
UUUCCAGUGUUUCAUUAGUCAAAACAAGUCAGGGUUCAAAACGUCAGAUACCGUCUAGUUCGACCAAAACAUCCAAAACGAUCCCCCGGGUUGUUUAAUGACUCGGAGGCCCCCCGGGGAAACCAAAUUUUUUUGGGUUGGGGGUAUGUUAAAACAAACAAAAAUUAAAGGGGGGAACCCCCGGAGUGGACCUGCCUUUUGACUCAACACGGAAAACUACCCGGGGCCUGGGAUUAAGAUUAAACUUUUUCUUGAUUCGGUGGGUGGGGGGCAUGGCCGUUCUUAGUUGGGGGCGUUUGCGGUUAAUUCCGAUAACAACGAGCCUAGCCUAAAAAUGUUGGAUCCCCUUUUGCGUCGGCAACUUUUUAAGGACAAGUGGCUUUUUUAACGAGAUUACAAUCGGGUCUGUGAUCCUUAGUUUCGGGGCCGCACCCACUAAAAGAAUCAGCGUGUCUCCCUUGCCUGGAAGGUCGGAAAAUUGAACCUCCCGUGCUAAAUUGGGGCUUUUUUUCCCCCCAAACGAGAAUUUCCCCAAUGGGGCACCCCGGCUCGCUUGUUACGCCCUCCCUUUUUCCCCCCCGUCCUACUCCCGGGGGGUUUUAUGACGCCUCGGUUGGACGGAAAUGGUUGGAACAACCUCCUUUUAACCAAAAAAGGGGAAAACAAACGCCUAAGAGAAAGUCGUAACAAGGUUUUCCGUAUGAACCUGGGGAAAGGAUC